Molecule: ribosomal RNA, 934 nt
Filed under: Mycoaciella sp.
Lineage: Eukaryota; Fungi; Basidiomycota; Agaricomycetes; Polyporales; Meruliaceae
Description: partial large subunit ribosomal RNA
Rfam family: Eukaryotic large subunit ribosomal RNA
Source: RNAcentral
UAGCAUAUCAAUAAGCGGAGGAAAAGAAACUAACAAGGAUUCCCCUAGUAACUGCGAGUGAAGCGGGAAAAGCUCAAAUUUAAAAUCUGGCAGCUUUGGCUGUCCGAGUUGUAGUCUGGAGAAGCGUCUUCCGCGCUGGACCGUGUACAAGUCUCUUGGAACAGAGCGUCAUAGAGGGUGAGAAUCCCGUCCAUGACACGGACUACCAGUGCUUUGUGAUGCGCUCUCAAAGAGUCGAGUUGUUUGGGAAUGCAGCUCAAAAUGGGUGGUAAAUUCCAUCUAAAGCUAAAUAUUGGCGAGAGACCGAUAGCGAACAAGUACCGUGAGGGAAAGAUGAAAAGCACUUUGGAAAGAGAGUUAAACAGUACGUGAAAUUGCUGAAAGGGAACCGCUUGAAGUCAGUCGCGUCUUGCAGAACUCAACCUGGCAUUUGCUUGGUGCACUUUCUGUAUGACGGGCCAACAUCAGUUUUGACUGCUGGAAAAAUUCCUUAGGAAUGUGGCACCUACGGGUGUGUUAUAGCCUUUGGUUGUAUACAGUGGUUGGGACUGAGGACCGCAGCACGCCUUAUGGCCGGGGUUCGCCCACGUACGUGCUUAGGAUGUUGGCGUAAUGGCUUUAAGCGACCCGUCUUGAAACACGGACCAAGGAGUCUAACAUGCCUGCGAGUGUUUGGGUGGUAAACCCGAGCGCGUAAUGAAAGUGAAAGUUGGGAUCCCUGUCGUGGGGAGCACCGACGCCCAUACCAGACCUUCUGUGACGGCUAUGCGGUUGAGCAUGUAUGUUGGGACCCGAAAGAUGGUGAACUAUGCCUGAAUAGGGUGAAGCCAGAGGAAACUCUGGUGGAGGCUCGUAGCGAUUCUGACGUGCAAAUCGAUCGUCAAAUUUGGGUAUAGGGGCGAAAGACUAAUCGAACCAUCUAGUAGCUGGUUCC